GACGAACGCUGGCGGCGUGCCUAAUACAUGCAAGUAGAACGCUGAAGGAGGAGCUUGCUUCUCUGGAUGAGUUGCGCACGGGUGAGUAACGCGUAGGUAACCUGCCUGGUAGCGGGGGAUAACUAUUGGAAACGAUAGCUAAUACCGCAUAAGAGUAGAUGUUGCAUGACAUUUGCUUAAAAGGUGCAAUUUCAUCACUACCAGAUGGACCUGCGUUGUAUUAGCUAGUUGGUGAGGUAACGGCUCACCAAGGCAACGAUACAUAGCCGACCUGAGAGGGUGAUCGGCCACACUGGGACUGAGACACGGCCCAGACUCCUACGGGAGGCAGCAGUAGGGAAUCUUCGGCAAUGGACGGAAGUCUGACCGAGCAACGCCGCGUGAGUGAAGAAGGUUUUCGGAUCGUAAAGCUCUGUUGUAAGAGAAGAACGAGUGUGAGAGUGGAAAGUUCACACUGUGACGGUAUCUUACCAGAAAGGGACGGCUAACUACGU
This 494-nucleotide ribosomal RNA is filed under the name uncultured bacterium. Its description in RNAcentral is "partial 16S ribosomal RNA". It matches the Rfam family "Bacterial small subunit ribosomal RNA", at positions 28 to 506 of the family's 1533-position model. The record is from RNAcentral.